CAGCAGCCGCGGUAAGACAGAGGAUGCAAGCGUUAUCCGGAAUGAUUGGGCGUAAAACGUCUGUAGGUGGCUUUUCAAGUCCGCCGUCAAAUCCCAGGGCUCAACCCUGGACAGGCGGUGGAAACUACCAAGCUGGAGUACGGUAGGGGCAGAGGGAAUUUCCAGUGGAGCGGUGAAAUGCGUUGAGAUCGAAAAGAACACCAACAGCGAAAGCACUCUGUUGGGACGACACUGACACUAAGAGACGAAAGCUAGGGGAGCAAAUGGGAUUAGAUACCCCCGUAGUCCCUGUCUCUUAUAC
RNAcentral lists this ribosomal RNA (301 nucleotides) under uncultured bacterium. RNAcentral describes it as "partial 16S ribosomal RNA". It matches the Rfam family "Bacterial small subunit ribosomal RNA", at positions 509 to 807 of the family's 1533-position model. The record is from RNAcentral.